Molecule: long non-coding RNA, 411 nt
Filed under: Homo sapiens (human)
Lineage: Eukaryota; Metazoa; Chordata; Mammalia; Primates; Hominidae
Description: HSALNT0117340
Source: RNAcentral
GUUUCAUCCCAUCCCAUCCUGGGCAUGUUGGGAGCAGUGACAGAGCUCUGCACCUGCUCUACACCUUGUCUGUGAUCCUGCAGAGACUGUUGGCUUCCUGCGUGGCUCAGGGACUCUGUCUGUGGAAGGGGGCUCACCCUGAGCUCCCUCUGGGCCUUGCCUUGUGGGGCUGACAUUGGAAUUACUCACGCUCACGGCUGCGGAGUCCUGUGCCGCGUGGAGGGCUGAGAGCAGCUGAGCCCUCACCUGGGCAGCCGGGUGUGCAGGGUCUCGUGGUGGGAACAGUGUGCGGAUCUGGGGGCCCCCGGCUGGAGGUGCUCCUCAGAGUCACUGUCAGGUUAGGUGGCUUUCUGGCUGUUGGCCCUACCCACAGGAAGCCCCACCCAAUUGCUGGGUGAACUUGAGGUUGCC